RNAcentral lists this ribosomal RNA (310 nucleotides) under Brephosceles decapus. Its description in RNAcentral is "partial 12S small subunit ribosomal RNA". Lineage: Eukaryota; Metazoa; Arthropoda; Arachnida; Sarcoptiformes; Alloptidae. The record is from RNAcentral.
CUUAAUUUUUUUGGCGGUUUAUUACCCUUUCAUAGGAACUUGUUAAAUUUAAUAGAUAACCCACUUUUAAUAUUACCAUUAUUUUAUUUAUGUACGGCUGUAUAAUUAUAGAUUAGAUUUUUUUAUUUUAAAAUUUAAUUUUUUUAUUUCAGGUCAAUGUGUAGGUUUUGUAAUGGUUUUUAAUGAGUUACAUUUUUAGGAGGUUUAUUUAUUAUUAAAGAAUUUGGAUAUGAUAGUAAAUAAAAAUUAAAAAUUUUUAUUGAUUAAUGGACCUAAUAAAAGUACAUAUCGCCCGUCACUCUUUUGAUAG